Molecule: ribosomal RNA, 252 nt
Filed under: uncultured bacterium
Lineage: Bacteria
Description: partial 16S ribosomal RNA
Rfam family: Bacterial small subunit ribosomal RNA
Source: RNAcentral
UACGAAGGGGGCUAGCGUUGUUCGGAUUUACUGGGCGUAAAGCGCACGUAGGCGGUUUGUUAAGUCAGGGGUGAAAUCCCACAGCUCAACUGUGGAACUGCCUUUGAUACUGGCAAGCUAGAGUCCGGAAGAGGUAAGUGGAACUCCUAGUGUAGAGGUGGAAUUCGUAGAUAUUAGGAAGAACACCAGUGGCGAAGGCGGCUUACUGGUCCGGAACUGACGCUGAGGUGCGAAAGCGUGGGAGCAAACAGG